RNAcentral lists this ribosomal RNA (448 nucleotides) under uncultured bacterium. RNAcentral describes it as "bacterial SSU rRNA". It matches the Rfam family "Bacterial small subunit ribosomal RNA", at positions 330 to 794 of the family's 1533-position model. The record is from RNAcentral.
GUCAGACUCCUACGGGAGGCAGCAGUGGGGAAUAUUGCACAAUGGGGGAAACCCUGAUGCAGCGACGCCGCGUGAGUGAAGAAGUAUUUCGGUAUGUAAAGCUCUAUCAGCAGGGAAGAAAAAAGACGGUACCUGACUAAGAAGCCCCGGCUAACUACGUGCCAGCAGCCGCGGUAAUACGUAGGGGGCAAGCGUUAUCCGGAUUUACUGGGUGUAAAGGGAGCGUAGACGGCGCGGCAAGUCUGAAGUGAAAGGCAGGGGCUUAACCCCUGAACUGCUUUGGAAACUGUGCAGCUCGAGUGCAGGAGAGGUAAGCGGAAUUCCUAGUGUAGCGGUGAAAUGCGUAGAUAUUAGGAGGAACACCAGUGGCGAAGGCGGCUUACUGGACUGUAACUGACGUUGAGGCUCGAAAGCGUGGGGAGCAAACAGGAUUAGAUACCCGAGUACU